Molecule: long non-coding RNA, 5426 nt
Filed under: Homo sapiens (human)
Lineage: Eukaryota; Metazoa; Chordata; Mammalia; Primates; Hominidae
Description: HSALNT0065489
Source: RNAcentral
CUGAGAUUACAGGCGUGAGCCUGGCCUUAUUUUUUAGAGACAGACUUGCUCUGUUGCCCAGGCUGGAUGAGGUGAUGAGAUCAUAGCUCACUGCAGCCUUGGGCUCAAGUGGUCCUCCUGCCCCUGCCUCUUGAAUAGCUGGGACUGCAGUUCUGCACCACCACAUCCAGCUACGCGCAUGCUUUCUGAUGCCUGGUUCAGCAGACAUGGAGGCUAUGGGGGCUGUCUUGGGGUGAUCAUCGUGAGGAUGGCCUGGAAUAUUUAUGUGCAUGUGUGUAAGCAUGUGUCUCAAGGAGGCUCCAGGCUGCUGACCCCAGAGCCAGCUCUCUCCUUAUGAAAUAACACCUCUUAGAUCCAUAAGACUUUACAAAAAUUUUUAUUCUGUUUACACAGGACCUUGUCUCAUUCAAUCCUUCCAAUUACCAAAAGAAGCAGGCAAGACAAACUGUUACACCCAUUUUAUGGGUUAGAAUGAUUUACUCCAAGAGAGAUGCACUUGCCUAAGACCAUCAGCUGUAGAGCUGGGCUAAUCCCAGUGCAUGACUCUUCCAUGAAUUGUGUGUUAAUUAUUUAUUUAUUGAGAGAGGGUCUUGCUCUGUCCCCCAGGCUGUAGUACAGUGGCAUGAUCACAGCUCACUGCAGCCUCAACCACCUGGGCUGAAGUGAUCCUCCCACCUCAGCCCCACAAGUAACUGGGACUACAUGCACACACCACCACAUCUGGCUAAUUUUUGUAUUUUUUUUAGAGACGAGGUUUUGCCAUGUUGCCCAGGCUGGUUUUGAACUCCUGGGCUCAAGUGAUCUGCUCAUCUUGGCCUUCCAAAGUGCUGGGAUUACAGGUGUGAGCCACCGUGCCCAGCCCCAUUUAUUUCACGAACAACUAACUACUCACUGACCACCUAGCAUGUGUCAGCCACUGUCCCAGGAACUUCUACUCACCGGCUUGCUCUCCUGAGAGAAGUGUGUUCAAGGCCCCUGCCCCUGCCACUAAGGAUGAGUUUUAAGUGAUGGAAUUAACAAGCCACGACUCUACUGCACAUUAAAAGGCAGGUGGCAGCACAGUGUGGCAGUUAAGAGCUGUGCUCCUCGGCCGGCCGCAGUGGCUCAUGCCUGUAAUCCCAGCACUCUGGGAAGCCAAGGCAAGCGGAUCACCUGAGGUCAGGAGUUCGAGAUCAGCCUAGCCAAUAUGGUGAAUCCCUGUCUCUACUAAAAAUACAAAAAUUAGCUGGGUGUGGUGGCACACGCCUGUAGUCCCAGCUACUCGGGGGGCUAAGGAAGGAGAAUCGCUUGAACCCAGGAGGUGGAGGUUGCAGUGAGCCGAGAUCUCACCAUUGCACUCCAGCCUGGGCAACACAGUGAGACUCUGUCUUGAGAAAAAAAAAAAAAAAAAAAAAGUCGGCCGGGCGCAGUGGUUCACGCCUGUAAUCCCAGCACUUUGGGAGGCCGAGGUGGGUGGAUCACGAGGUCAGGAGAUCGAGACAAUCCUGGCUAACACGAUGAAACCUCAUCUCUACUAAAAAUACAAAAAAUUAGCCAGGCGUGGUGGUGGGCGCCUGUAGUCCCAGCUACUUGGGAGGCUGAGGCAGGAGAAUGGCAUGAACCCGUGAGGCAGAGCUUGCAGUGAGCAGAGAUCGCGCCACUGCACUCCAGCCUGGGCAACAAAGCGAGACUCCGUCUCAAAAAAAAAAAAAAAAACAUACACAUACACACACAAAAAGUCAGCUGGGGGUGGUGGCACACGCCUGUAAUCCCAACUACUGGGGAGGGUGAGGCAGGAGAAUCCCUUGAACCUGGGAGGUGGAGGUUGCAGUGAGCCAAGAUUGAGCUACUGCACCUCCAGCCUAGGCAACAGCGAGACUCUGUCUCUCUCUCCUACACACACACACACACACACACACACACACACACACACACACAAACACAAAGAAAAAAGAAAAAAAGAAAAACAAAAGAGCUGUGCUCCAGAGUCAGACUGUCCUUGAGUCCCAGCCCUGCCAUCCAGUAUGUCAAUUCCCUGUAUUUCCUCAUGCACAAAACAAGGGUAUAAUUAUGCCAGUCAUAUAGGGCUGUUGUAAGGAUUGACUGAGUUAAUAUAGGUAACGCAAUUACAACCCUGCCACUACACAGUAAGAGCCCAGCAAAUAUGAACUGCUACAAUUUUAAAGUUCCUUAGCAUUGUCUUGAAACAAGGGGAAGUUAAAACAAAACAAAAAAAAAGUCCCUGGCCGAGCAUGGUGGCUCACACUGGUAUUUCCAGCACCAUGGGAGGACAAGGCAAGCGGAUCACUCGAGGCUAGGAUUUCAAGACCAGCCUAGGCAACAUAGCGAGAACCUGUCUCUACAAAAAAAUUUAAAAAUUAGCAGGGCGUGAUGGUGCGUGCCUGUGGUCCCAGCUACUGGAGAGUCUGAGGCUGCAGUGAGCUAGAAUUUUGCCACCACACUCCAGCCAGAGCCACAGAGUCAGAUCCUGUCUCAAAAGAAAAAGGCUCUUUUAAGGUUGGGCGCGGUGGCUGACACCUGUAAUCCCAGCACUUUGGGAGGCCAAGGCGGGCAGAUCACCUGAGGUCAGGAGUUUGAGACCAGCCUGGCCAACAUGGUGAAACUCUGUCUCUACUAAAAAUACAAAAAUUAGCCAGGCGUGGUGGCAGGUGCCUGUAAUCCCAGCUACUCAGGAGGUUGAGGUGGGAGAAUCUCUUGAACCUGGGAGACAGAGGUUGCAGUGAACUGAGAUCGCGCCACUGCACUCCACUCUGGGUGACAGAGUGAGACUCCGUCUCAAAAAACAAACAAAAAAAGUCCUCUCCCAAGGCCAUGCUCCUGGUGGCAGCUGGCACCCAAAGGCUGAGCACUUGAGCAGAAUGGAAGCCUGACCACCUGCCCUGACUUAGAACAACUCUGCCGGGCUAAGCUGGCGGAGGCGCACACUGGGCUUGCAUUGCUGCUCAACCUCUCCCUCUGCUCCAGUCUGUCACCUGGGCCUGCUUUCCUGGGUGUUGAUCCCAGGAGCAACCACAAUAAAUGCCCUGCAUGUUGGCCUCUCCAAGCCGCUUCCCAAGGAACCCAACCUGUGACAGGCACAGCAGAUGCAGAGAUGACUAAGCCACAGUCUGGCCUUCAAGAAUGUCAAGGCCAAGUGGGAACUGCGAUCUCAUGCAGCUCGCUGGGGUUAGCACAAAGUGCAAUGAAGCCUGGUUGGAGGGGCUGGAAUUGAGGGAGUCCAGGCCCUACUGGGGACCAGCCAGGUUGCCCACGAAGGUGUUGGUGAGUGUGGUCUGGCCAGGAGAAACAGGGAGCCCAGGAUUUCACUGAAGAAUCUGUGGACUGAGGCCUAAUGUCAGCAGAGCAGCUCCAGAGUCAGCAGCUGUGGAAAGACAGCCCCCCAGCUAAGUGGGGUUUGGGAGUGAAGAGGAGGCUGCCGUGAUGCGCAGUCCAGAGUGAGCAGGAGUGACCUCCCACUCUUCCACGCCAGGUUCCUCUCUCUCCCUUCUCUGUCCUGUGCUUUCCGAAAUGGAGCUGGCUGACACCACGUUUUCCAUCCUUCAAACCAACUAUCUUCUGCUGACUCCCCUCUCACCUCCAAAAGCUAGGCCUUUCUCAGGGGCUCCAGUUCCUUGAUCCCGCCUCUCUGAAGUCCUGCAGCACCGGCCCGUAUUGCCAUACAUGCAGGCUGCUCACACGACUUUCAUGGAAUCAUAAAAUUGGAAGCCACCCCGGAGGCCCAUCUAGUGCUGCCUCCUACCUCAGGGAGGGCCCUUCUCUACAGCCUGUCAGGGCCGAACAGUCCCACUGACUGGGAACUCUCAGAAGACAGCCUGAGCUAGUCACUUUCCUUCCUUUGAGCCCAAACUGAUCUAUCUCUGGAGUCACUGAUUGAAAUAUCACUUCUUUUCCCAUAUGAUAGUCCUUCAAAUCAGAUGGUCACACAAGAGUCACUUUUUUGAGUGCUGAUACAUUGUUCUUGUCAGCAAAUCCUCAUAACAAUCCUAUAAAGAAACCAAGAAGGUGCUCAGAAAGGUUGAGGAAUUUGCUGUGGCUACCUUCUGCUACCAGCUGUGGUUAUUUCUGCUACCAGCAACAGAGCUGAGAUCUGAUAUUCGACUCCAACUCCAGUGCUCUUGAAGCACAAAAGCAGAUUUGGCAUCACAGAACCCUCCAGAUGCAUUCCCAAGGACUCUAAGGAGUUGAGAGAACUCCUCUAGGGUUCACUAUUGGUGAGGGGCUCAGAGGCUGGAAGCCUGGCAAGUAGGCAGGCAUGAUCCUAUAACGGAUGGCUCCCUGAUACACCCACCUGCAGGUCUGAAGUUGGAAGAGAAUUAUGAGGGCUGUGAGCAAGCUCUCUGGAGUGCUGAGCUAAGGGUGCCCAUGGCCACAGACAUGGGAGGAAGGAUGCCAAGGAGGCAGGCACAUUAGUCGUCCUUCUGCCAGCUUCACCAGUCCACAGAGCCUUGCUGUCUUUAUCUUCUUUAACCCCCGAAACAGGGCUCUCUCCCCGGCGACCCAUACCAUGCUACCCUCAGCAGCUCAGAGUUAAGAUUCUUUGGUCAAGCUUUUUUUUUUUUUUUCUUGAGAAGAAGUCUCGCUCUGUCGCCCAGGCUGAGUGCAAUGGCACGAUCUCAGCUUACUGCAACUUCCGCCUCCCAGGUUCAAGCUAUUCUCCUGCCUCAGCCUCUUGAGUAGCUGGGACUACAGGCAUGUGCCACCACACCUGGCUAAUUUUUGUAUUUUUAGUAGAGACGGGGCCUCCCUAUGUUGGCCUGGCUGGUCUUGAACUCCUGACCUCAGGUGACCUGCCCACCUUGGCCUCCUAAAGUGCUGGGAUUACAGGCGUGAGCCACUGCUCCUGGCCUGGUCGAGCUUUUUGACUACAAUCUGCAUGAAGGCGGCAAGUUCUUUCUGCUGACUUUGUUGUCACUGAGAGCAACGCAAUAUGUCUGUUUUAUUUUUUUCUUUUGAGAGAAGUGGUCUUGCUAAGUUUCCCAGGCCCCUCCUAUAUGGUUAGAGGAAAUAUAAAGAACAUGCAAUCACCCAAGCAAAGUGAGGACAAAGAUGGUUUCUCUUCAGUGCUGAGUCUAGAGAGCAGAGAAGCAGGGCAAGCCGGAGCCAGAUAUGACUGGAGAAAGCAGCUGGCCACGUGUGAGGCCAGGUUACACAAUCAGUUCAACUGCCCAUCAGUGGGGGCUGUGACGACAGAACCCAAGACCCCUUCAGCUGAGGCUGAGCCCAGGCUAGGGCUAACAGCACCGCAAUGAUGCCAAUACACUGCCCUUCAUUCCACUGGCUCAGCCCACCCCAAGGUCAGGCAGGCAGGCAACCACUGCCCAGGGAGCAGCAGACAUGAGGCAAAGGAGACGCGGGGAGAGAUUUAAUUUACAUAGCAGCCACUUGGGGUCCAGUCAGAGCUGGGGCAGUGGGGGAAUCUAUAACCC